GCCUGGUGUCCUUUGUCUAAAUUGGUGUGUAAUCUACAAGCUGCAUGCAGUCAUCCAGUGAUUGAGAGGAGAGAGGAGGCUUUCAACGAACGAUAUAUCAUGAAGAGAUAUGUGAAAAACACCUUGAGGAUUGAUUCUAAACAACGUUUACCAUGUUUCAGUCGAUAUUAUGGAGUUAAUUUGGAAAAAAGUUUGGCGUUUUGAAGACUGAAUUUUCGUUUUUUUUUGGUAGCCAAACGUGACGCACCAAACGGAGCAAUUUCUCCUAAACAAAUAAUCUUUCAGGAAAAACUGAGCAUUUGCUAUCUAACUGAGAGUCUCCUCAUUAAAAACAUCUGAAGUUCUUGAAAGCUUCAAGGCAUAGCGAUUGGUCUCCUCUACUGUGUCUCCCACCAGCUCCUCUGUCAGAAACAUCUUGAAGCACUCUGUGUCAGAUGGAAAUGGCAAGGGGCAUUGCACUCCAGACUGAGAUUCAUCAAAGCAAACCGCAGGGCCAGGAGGGGUGAAAUGGCUGGCAGCCUUCCAGCUACCACAGAACUCCUGUACUUCAUCCACUGUCGGUCUGCCUCCAUCACCACCAGCAUCUUCAAAGGGAACUGGGACUUUGUCUGUGGACAAGGGGUCCUCAGAUUCAGGGUUCUCACGGGCUGGGGGGAAGCUCCUCACUGUCACUGUCAGAAUCUGAUUCCUGACUUUCAGACUCAUUGUCAGAAUUUUUUUAAUCUCCAGAAUUUCUGCAUUUGUGAGUUGUCUCCUUUUGAAAGACAUUGCUAAUGUUACAGCUUAGCUCACUAGCUACAUACUAACAACACCACUGAAUGGCUCAGAGUGGGAGUUAGAGGUUACGUGAUUGACUGCCUGCACGCAUCAUUUGUAUCAAUAAAUCACUAUCAGAAAAUGUCUUGUGUGGUAAUUAUUGAUAUGUUUACUGUUUUAUUCACGUUUUUCAAUUACCGGUGAUAAAUCAUGC
Long non-coding RNA from Oncorhynchus tshawytscha (Chinook salmon), 970 nucleotides. NCBI's taxonomy places the organism in Eukaryota, Metazoa, Chordata, Actinopteri, Salmoniformes, Salmonidae. The record is from Ensembl.